ACAGCAGCCGCCGCGGUAAUACGAAGGGGGCUAGCGUUGCUCGGAAUGACUGGGCGUAAAGGGCGCGUAGGCGGUUCGUACAGUUGGAUGUGAAAUUCCUGGGCUUAACCUGGGGGCUGCAUUCAAUACGUGCGGGCUUGAGUGUGGAAGAGGGUUGUGGAAUUCCCAGUGUAGAGGUGAAAUUCGUAGAUAUUGGGAAGAACACCGGUGGCGAAGGCGGCAACCUGGUCCAUAACUGACGCUGAGGCGCGAAAGCGUGGGGAGCAAACAGGAUUAGAUACCCCCGUAGUCCCUGUCUCUUAUAC
This 305-nucleotide ribosomal RNA is filed under the name uncultured bacterium. RNAcentral describes it as "partial 16S ribosomal RNA". It matches the Rfam family "Bacterial small subunit ribosomal RNA", at positions 508 to 807 of the family's 1533-position model. The record is from RNAcentral.